RNAcentral lists this unclassified non-coding RNA (363 nucleotides) under Zea mays. Its description in RNAcentral is "misc RNA Zm00001eb200670". Lineage: Eukaryota; Viridiplantae; Streptophyta; Magnoliopsida; Poales; Poaceae. The record is from RNAcentral.
UUGGCGGCGGGCGGCGGCUCGCUUCCUCUCCUCCACCGCACCUCCAAGAAUCCACCCCUGCCUGACGCCUCCACCUCCACGACUGAGCUGACGGCUCGGCGGCGCCAUGGCGGUUCUCCGGCUCCAACCUUCCCCCUCCGGCCUACAAUGCUCCACCGCCCGGUCGCCAGUGCUCCUCCAUGGGCCACGGCUGACGGGUGCACGCACCGGACUUCCGCUUCUGCCCCUGCACAUCCCGCCCUUGGUCGCGCACCUCGGCAUGUUCCUCGGCUCGACGGCUACUGUCUUGAGGCGUACGGUGGCCGCCCACCUCGUACCCAGUCACCAGAUCUCAAGUUCCACCUCAAAAUCCAGAUCAAGUGA